This is a small nuclear RNA of Vulpes vulpes (red fox), 107 nucleotides long. The record is from Ensembl. NCBI's taxonomy places the organism in Eukaryota, Metazoa, Chordata, Mammalia, Carnivora, Canidae.
GUGCUUACUUUGGCAACACACACACUAAAAUUGGAACAAUACAGACAAUAUUAGCAUCACCGCUGUGCAAGGAUAGCACACAAAUUUGUGGUAUUCCAUAUUUUUUU